This 380-nucleotide ribosomal RNA is filed under the name uncultured eukaryote. RNAcentral's name for it is "partial 18S ribosomal RNA". It matches the Rfam family "Eukaryotic small subunit ribosomal RNA", at positions 592 to 976 of the family's 1831-position model. The record is from RNAcentral.
CAAUAGCGUAUAUUAAAGUUGUUGCGGUUAAAGAGCUCGUAGUUGGAUUUCUGCCGAGGACGACCGGUCCGCCCUCCGGGUGAGUAUCUGGUUUGGCCUGGGCAUCUUCUUGGAGAACGUAGCUGCACUUGACUGUGUGGUGCGGUGUCCAGGACUUUUACUUUGAGGAAAUUAGAGUGUUUCAAGCAGGCACACGCCUUGAAUACAUUAGCAUGGAAUAAUAAGAUAGGACCUCGGUUCUAUUUUGUUGGUUUCUAGAGCUGAGGUAAUGAUUAAUAGGGAUAGUUGGGGGCAUUCGUAUUUAACUGUCAGAGGUGAAAUUCUUGGAUUCGUUAAAGACGGACUACUGCGAAAGCAUUUGCCAAGGAUGUUUUCAUUAA